GACGAACGCUGGCGGCGUGCUUAACACAUGCAAGUCGAACGGAAAGGCCCUGCUUUUGUGGGGUGCUCGAGUGGCGAACGGGUGAGUAACACGUGAGUAACCUGCCCUUGACCUUGGGAUAACUUCAGGAAACUGGGGCUAAUACCGGAUAGGAGCUCCUGCUGCAUGGUGGGGGUUGGAAAGUUUCGGCGGUUGGGGAUGGACUCGCGGCUUAUCAGCUUGUUGGUGGGGUAGUGGCUUACCAAGGCUUUGACGGGUAGCCGGCCUGAGAGGGUGGCCGGCCACAUUGGGACUGAGAUACGGCCCAGACUCCUACGGGAGGCAGCAGUGGGGAAUAUUGCACAAUGGGCGGAAGCCUGAUGCAGCAACGCCGCGUGCGGGAUGACGGCCUUCGGGUUGUAAACCGCUUUCGCCUGUGACGAAGCGUGAGUGACGGUAAUGGGUAAAGAAGCACCGGCUAACUACGUG
Molecule: ribosomal RNA, 468 nt
Filed under: uncultured bacterium
Lineage: Bacteria
Description: partial 16S ribosomal RNA
Rfam family: Bacterial small subunit ribosomal RNA
Source: RNAcentral